RNAcentral lists this ribosomal RNA (1975 nucleotides) under human gut metagenome. RNAcentral's name for it is "bacterial LSU rRNA". It matches the Rfam family "Bacterial large subunit ribosomal RNA", at positions 1 to 1996 of the family's 2925-position model. The record is from RNAcentral.
UCUUCCGAUCUAGAGCAUACGGAGGAUGCCUAGGUACAUGGCGCCGAGGAAGGACGUGACAAGCUGCGAAAAGCUGCGGGGAGCUGCAAAUGAGCCGAGAUCCGCAGAUAUCCGAAUGAGGGAACUCACUGCAAGUAAUGUUGCAGUAUCAUUGCGUGAACACAUAGCGCAAUGAGGGGAACCCGGGGAACUGAAACAUCUUAGUACCCGGAGGAAAAGAAAGUAAGAACGAUUCCGAAAGUAGUGGCGAGCGAAAUCGGAGUAGCCCAAACCGCAUGUAGCAAUACGUGCGGGGUAUGGACCUUCAAAACGCACCGAGAACGAUAGCCAAAGACGGUUGGAAAGCCGGACCGAAGAGGGUAACAGUCCCGUAGGCGAAAUUGUUCGGAGGCAAGAAGGUAUCCGGAGUACGCCGGAACACGAGGAAUUCCGGCGGAAGACAGGAGGACCAUCUCCUAAGGCUAAAUACGACCAUGUGACCGAUAGCGAAUAGUACCGUGAGGGAAAGGUGAAAAGCACCCCGGGAGGGGAGUGAAAGAGAACCUGAAACCGUGUGCUUACAAGCAGACAGAGUGCCACACGCGCAUGAUGUCGUACUUUUUGUAGAACGGGCCGGCGAGUUACGUUGUGUUGCGAGGUUAAGUGAUACAGUCACGGAGCCGAAGCGAAAGCGAGUCUGAAGAGGGCGGAAAGUAGCAUGACGUAGACCCGAAACCUGAUGAUCUAUCCAUGAGCAGGCUGAAGCAGAGGUAAAGCUUUGUGGAGGGCCGAACCCACGCCUGUUGAAAUAGUCGGGGAUGACUUGUGGAUAGCGGAGAAAUUCCAAACGAAUCGGGAUAUAGCUGGUUCUCCUCGAAAUAGCUUUAGGGCUAGCCUCGUAAGAGAAUACCGCAGGUAGAGCACUAAAUGGCCUAGGGGGCUUCACGGCUUACCGAAGCUUAUUAAACUCCGAAUGGCGGAUAUUUGAUUUACGGGAGUCAGACUGCGACAGACAAGUGCCGUAGUCAAAAGGGAAACAGCCCAGAUCCACAGCUAAGGUCCCAAAGUACAGGUUAAGUGGUAAAGGAUGUGACAUUGCAGAAACAACCAGGAUGUUGGCUUAGAAGCAGCCACACAUUAAAAGAGUGCGUAAUAGCUCACUGGUCGAGUGAUGGUGCGCCGAAGAUUACCGGGGCUCAAACCUGACACCGAAGCUUGGGGAUUGGAGUAAUCCAAUCGGUAGAGGAGCAAUGCGUACGGGCAGAAGCUGUAUCGGAAGAGGCAGUGGACUGUACGGAAGAGAGAAUGCCGGCAUAAGUAGCGAGAGGGAGGCGAGAAACCUCCCCGUCGAAAGUCUGAGGUUUCCUGGGGAAGGUUCGUCCGCCCAGGGUAAGUCGGGACCUAAGCCGAGGCCGAAAGGCGUAGGUGAUGGACAACGGGUUGAGAAUCCCGUACCGCCGACACACGAUGUAUGAGGCAGUGACACAGAGGGAUAGUCGAAGCGCGCGGAUGGAAAAGCGCGUCCAAGGCGAAGCGUUGGCAGGCAGUGAAGUACGCCUGUCGCAAAGCGUAGCGCUGACGGGGAGCGGACUAGGGAAGCGAAGUCGAUGAAUCCGCACUGGCGAGAAAAGCUGCUAAAUAGUGUGAAGGUGCCCGUACCGCAAACCGACACAGGUAGACGAGAAGAAAAUUCUAAGACGAACGGGAGAACCCUUGUUAAGGAACUCGGCAAAAUGACCCCGUAACUUCGGGAGAAGGGGAGCCACAGCGAUGUGGCCGCAGUGAAGAGGCCCAAGCGACUGUUUAUCAAAAACACAGGUUUCUGCGAAAGCGCAAGCUGACGUAUAGGAGCUGACUCCUGCCCAGUGCCGGAAGGUCAAGGGGACUUGUUAGCGCAAGCGAAGCAACGAACUCAAGCCCCGGUGAACGGCGGCCGUAACAAUAACGGUCCUAAGGUAGCGAAAUUCCUUGUCGGGUAAGUUCCGACCCGCACGAA